CGGGAUUGGGCAGCCCCUCCCUCUCUAGUGAAAAUAUCUCCUAUCUCUUCUCUCCCCAUUCCUCUUCUCUGGCCGCCGCCUCCGCUUCCCUCCUCCCUCUCGGCCGCCUUGUCUCCUCCGCCGCCGCCACGUCCUCCUCCCCUGCCACCACCCUCUCCAUCCCUGCCUCUCCUCCUCCCCUGCCUCCGCGCACCCGGCAACACGGCCAGACCGAUGGAUUGGGUAGGCGAAGAGGAGUGGAAGAUCCGCCUCUUGGGCGGUUGUGCUCUUCUUUGUUGAGAACUUGCCGCCUGUUGUGGCCGCGUCGCUGCCGUUCUUGCGCCGCCGCUGCUGCCGUGGACAGCUUGGCUUAAGGCGAGCAGGGAGGCAUGAUCUUCUUGGUGGGUGUGGAGGAGCAGGGGAGGAUGAGGAGAAUGGCAGUGAGGGAAGGAACAGCGAGGCUGGAGUUCCAAACGGUGCUGGCCAUGGUACCUGUCCCCAAUCUAGGUUGCCAAUAUGCAGCCUCCUUGAUUUAUGUUUUUUAAACACACAUGUGCAGACCUGAGGAAAAAGAGAAGAGGGUGAAUCUUGAUGAAAAGUUUGAACAAAGUGAUCUCUCCCUCUCUCUUGAACACUACUAUCACGUUCAUAUGUUCUGCAUAAGGCUAUCUUAUUUGGUGUGCAAGAGAGUAUUUAUAGUUAGAAUAUUACAUUCUCAUGUCUUAUAUAAAAUCUUCUUCUUUGAACAAUGUUCUUUAAUUUCUAGAUUUGUUGCAGGUUCGAAGAUAUAAAUCAAAUUGAUAUAUUGUCGAUGGGGAUUAAGUACUGUAAUGAUAUACCUGAGAAUAUUGAUGAUAUAUCUGCUACCAGGUUGAAUAUUGACCAAAAAUUAAUUUGUGUGUGUGCUUCUGCUCAUUUAAGUACAUAAUUUGGUCACAAACCUCCUGCUGUAGCUACAAAGUUCAUUGUGUGAUGCCUACAAGUUAUUGAUCUUGUUUUUGGUGUAAAGCUGUAGGCCGAGUUCAGAUUGUUCUUUUGACGGAAAUGGAACAGGUAAUGCUACAGCCUAAGCAUUGUAUAGUAUAAAUUUCAUAAAAGGUCAUGUAACAUUUUACUUAGGUUCAUUCAAAUAUCUGGAAUUGACAUGCAUAUGUUUCUUGUAUGUGCACACGUUGUUGGUUGUAUCUUAAUAUGAGUUCUUUAUGUUGCUUGCCUAAA
Non-coding RNA from Triticum urartu, 1197 nucleotides. NCBI's taxonomy places the organism in Eukaryota, Viridiplantae, Streptophyta, Magnoliopsida, Poales, Poaceae. The record is from RefSeq and is a predicted model, not a curated record.